RNAcentral lists this ribosomal RNA (209 nucleotides) under uncultured bacterium. RNAcentral's name for it is "partial 16S ribosomal RNA". It matches the Rfam family "Bacterial small subunit ribosomal RNA", at positions 568 to 775 of the family's 1533-position model. The record is from RNAcentral.
UGCGUAGGUGGUUGGUUAAGUUUGAGGUGAAAGCUCCGAGCUCAACUCGGAAAAUGCCUUGAAGACUAUCUGGCUAGAGGAUUGGAGGGGGAGAUUGGAAUUCUCGGUGUAGCAGUGAAAUGCGUAGAUAUCGAGAGGAACACCAGUGGCGAAGGCGAAUCUCUGGACAAUUCCUGACACUGAGGCACGAAAGCCAAGGGAGCGAAACG